Molecule: ribosomal RNA, 492 nt
Filed under: uncultured bacterium
Lineage: Bacteria
Description: partial 16S ribosomal RNA
Rfam family: Bacterial small subunit ribosomal RNA
Source: RNAcentral
AGUGAACGCUGGCGGUAGGCCUAACUCAUGCAAGUCGAACGGCAGCACAGUAAGAGCUUGCCCUUACGGGUGGCGAGUGGCGGACGGGUGAGGAAUACAUCGGAAUCUACUUUUUCGUGGGGGAUAACGUAGGGAAACUUACGCUAAUACCGCAUACGACCUACGGGUGAAAGCAGGGGAUCUUCGGACCUUGCGCGAUUGAAUGAGCCGAUGUCGGAUUAGCUAGUUGGCGGGGUAAAGGCCCACCAAGGCGACGAUCCGUAGCUGGUCUGAGAGGAUGAUCAGCCACACUGGAACUGAGACACGGUCCAGACUCCUACGGGAGGCAGCAGUGGGGAAUAUUGGACAAUGGGCGCAAGCCUGAUCCAGCCAUACCGCGUGGGUGAAGAAGGCCUUCGGGUUGUAAAGCCCUUUUGUUGGGAAAGAAAAGCAGCAGGUUAAUACCCCGCUGUUCUGACGGUACCCAAAGAAUAAGCACCGGCUAACUUCGUG